UACAGAGGUCCCGAGCGUUGUCCGGAAUCAUUGGGCGUAAAGCGCGCGUAGGCGGCCAGAUAAGUCCGGUGUGAAAGUCACAGGCUCAACCUGUGAAUGCCGCUGGAAACUGUCUGGCUAGAGUCCGGAAGGGGCGAGUGGAAUUCCCGGUGUAGCGGUGAAAUGCGCAGAUAUCAGGAGGAACACCAAUGGCGAAGGCAGCUCGCUGGGACGGUACUGACGCUGAGGCGCGAAAGCGUGGGGAGCAAACAGG
Molecule: ribosomal RNA, 253 nt
Filed under: uncultured bacterium
Lineage: Bacteria
Description: partial 16S ribosomal RNA
Rfam family: Bacterial small subunit ribosomal RNA
Source: RNAcentral